UACGAAGGGUGCAAGCGUUACUCGGAAUUACUGGGCGUAAAGCGUGCGUAGGUGGUUUGUUAAGUCUGAUGUGAAAGCCCUGGGCUCAACCUGGGAAUUGCAUUGGAUACUGGCAGGCUAGAGUGCGGUAGAGGGUAGUGGAAUUCCCGGUGUAGCAGUGAAAUGCGUAGAGAUCGGGAGGAACACCAGUGGCGAAGGCGACUUCCUGGACCGUUACUGACACUGAGGCACGAAAGCGUGGGGAGCGAACAGG
Molecule: ribosomal RNA, 253 nt
Filed under: uncultured bacterium
Lineage: Bacteria
Description: partial 16S ribosomal RNA
Rfam family: Bacterial small subunit ribosomal RNA
Source: RNAcentral